Molecule: RNA transcript, 4577 nt
Organism: Physcomitrium patens
Lineage: Eukaryota; Viridiplantae; Streptophyta; Bryopsida; Funariales; Funariaceae
Gene name: SAC3 family protein A
Source: RefSeq, a predicted model, not a curated record
GGAAGUCCAUUCACUGUCAUUUGGCUUUGUUUCCCGAGCUUGGGUUAGGGUUUCCAGAUCCGUGCUCGGUGUGUCUCCGGCCUCUUGCUGCCCGUCAAUGUUGCAUCUUCCCCCUCUUUUUCUGGUGUCCUAUGGGUGAGUUCAUGUUUAUUCUUUGAGGUCCCGUUUUAUCUUGAUUUUGGAUAGUGUGUUCAGUGUGUUUGGGUACAUAACGAGGUUGGUUGUAUCGUUGAGCUCUAAGGUCAUGGGCUUUAGAGAGUGAAUUUAUUGGGGUGACGUAGCGAGGGUUGGGGUUUAAAUCAUGAGAGGGGGUAGGAUGGUAGAUUGUGGUGCUGGUAGAGUGGAGGAGGAGUAGGAGGAGAGCUUUGCAGUAUUUUUAUUUGAGGUUUAUGGGGGUGAUUAUUUUUAACGAUUUAGAAAUGGUUUGAGGUGUGAGUGUCUUUUGAUAAGCCGCGAGAAGUGAUACGUUGGGGAAAUUUACAUCUUUGUUACGAAAUUGAGAACGCAACGGCGGUUUGGGGGAUACGACUUGCGGUGGAUAUUGGCGCCAUUCCUGAGAAAUUUAGUCGUUUUUGUUAUCUCAUUGGUGUAUUCAAGCUUGGGAGCGUCUAGGAGCAGCCUUUCCAGUUCGUGCAACCACUUGGGAAUAUGAGUACAAGAAUUGACAGACCUGGAUGUGUCGAGCUGCUUUUCUGCUCAGUCACGGAGGCAUCUCCGUUGUAGUGUUAAGGGGAGGGAUUUUUGUGGCCAGAUUACGGAGGGAGGAUGUAUUAUAGAGCUGGCGGACGGAUUUAAUUUCAGCGAGUAGUGAUUAGGUAUCGUGUUUCGCUCUUGGGACUAUCACUUUGACGCCUUUGUAGAUGCGAUGUCUGUCCCUGAGUCUAAUGGCAGUACUUGUCUGUUUAAUUCAUGAGAUUCUGUUUUGGCCCAGUUGUGCAGAUUAGCCUAACCCCCAUGAUCCUAGGGUGGCUCAAAACAGGUCGCCACCACUGUGGCAUUGAGUUGAUCCUAUUCAAUAAUGGCAGGGGUAGGAGACGAGUAUGACAGCAGGAGAAAUUUUUAUCCUGAUCCUGGAAAUGCAUGGGAUGGUCAACCUUACGAUCCAGUGUCCCAGCAACAACCCAAUUGGUAUAGUUAUUAUCCGCCCCAACAGCUUGAUGACAGGGGGCAGGCUGGUCAAGAAGGGAUAGCAGUUCCUCCUUUACCCGCAAUGCCACCUCCGCAGGCACCUCUACCACCGGGUUUGACCACAACACCAACCUGGUCAGUAAGCGAUCAGGGGGUAGCAAAUGGCGGCAACAACACCACAUACACUGGCCACAGCAGUUACAGUCAUCUUCCGCAGCAGGGUCAAGAGUAUACCGGCUAUGGAACAAGUGAAAUACAGCAAGCUGUUAACUAUGCCCACCCUCAGACGGCGAAUGGCUCACAGCCAUAUGCACAAGGAUAUGCGGGGUACAAUUACAUGCCCGAUCAGAAUGCAUACAACCAUCAGGGAUACAAUAAUAAUUGUUUUCAGAAACAUGGAACGGAAUCAUAUACCCAGAAUGUAGGUGCUCCUUACGCUCCCCCCAACCAGUAUCAGCUCACGGAUGCAACUUUGUAUGCAAGCACCUCCAACUACUAUGAUCUCAACGGCUAUCAAAGUGCUGGCUCUCGGGGUGAGGGUGGACAAGGUCAGGCCUCCUGGAGUGAUCCCAAACAGGGGCAAUACAGUUAUACAAGUUACGCAGUGCAAAAUGUGGAUACCAACGCCGCCUAUGGUACUGCCAAACUUAAUCCGGAAGACAAUGUGCAAUUUGCACCAGACUAUUCGCAGCAGUGGGCUGAUUACUACGCGAGUUUGAAUGCCGUUCCACAAACUGACACUGAAAGUACAGUCGCUCUUCAAGCAGCUUCGAGCGCUCCUGCAGCCCCGACGCCUGCUCCAUCGUAUGCUAGUGUUGUUGCUGCUCCAGCUGCUCAGCAACCUCCACCUCCCGGUACAGCAGCACAUCAUUAUUCUUGGCAAGCCGCUGCAGCGUCGUAUGCUGUAUCUCAAUCCUCUCAGGAUUCCACAAUCGCUGAAGCUUCUGGUGCAGGAACUCCUUGGAAUGCUAAUGCUAACCUAACAUCUCAAACCCAUUGGAAUCCUAGUUCUAACCAGACUUCUCAGAGCGACCAUUUUAACCAAAGUCAAUUUCCACCUUUAGAUAAGCAUCCAAGGACACCUGUAAAUCAGCAUCAUCAACAGUCUCAGGUCACCCACAAUCUUCAGCAGCAGCAGCAAAGUAAAUCACCUAAGCUGCAUAUCGUGACCAAUCCGCGUAUUACAGCUACUAUCGGUAGUUUAGGGUCGGGUAAAGAAACACAUAAACCAGCUUAUAUAAGUGUUCCUGCUAAGAAAUCCUCUUCUAGUGUUUCUACAGAUGCUGUUGCUGAUGCCACGCUACAGGCUGAAAGUUUUCCGUCGUCGUUGCGGACUUAUGUGGAAAGAGCCCUGUCACGUUGCAAAGAUGAGUCGCAGAAAGCAACUUGUCAGGAGAUAAUGAAGGACAUGAUUACAAGGGCUUCUAAGGAUGGAACUUUGUUUACUAGAGAUUGGGAUACGGAGCCACUUUUUCAACUACCUGCUCCGUCAUCUUCAUCUGUUAAGAAGGAAACGGUACAACAUAAUAACUCAACUAAAAGCGAGUGGAGUCCUGCCAGGCGCUUGAAAACUCGUUGGGAACCUCCUGCUACGGUGAACUCGGAUGAUAAACCAGGACGAGUUCAUGGUUUUCACAACUCUUUCAGGGAAGGUGGUCAUGACUUGUCCAAAGAGGACAGCACGCAAUCCCAUUCCAAAUGGGAGAAGCGUGAGGAUUUAUGGAUUAAGAGUACCAUUGCAGGCAAUGAACACUUAAAGAAUAUGUCAAAAAGAGGCUUGAAAAGGCUUCGUAAAGGGAUUCUGUCACAGGGAGGUGAGAAUGGUUCCAGUGACAGUGAAGAGGAGCAUGCACACGGAGUUCAUCUUGGAUCUUUGUCAACGGCUGAUACUCCGGAAGAGAAGGAAAGACGGCAGAAUCGGUUUAAACGUUUUGAUCGAGGUAAGGAUUCAGGCAGAGGAGGGAAGGGAUCUGGACGAGGAGAGCGGGGACCAGCGGCGGGGAGUGCAAGUGCACGGAGAGCCACAGCUCUACAGUUAGCUCUAAAUUCAGGGGAUGGGCAAAAUGGACGUGCUGUAGAGGAUAUUGACUGGGAUUCUUUGACUAUACGAGGGACAUGCCAAGAGGUUGAGAAGCGGUAUCUCCGACUCACUUCUGCGCCAGACCCCAACACAGUUAGGCCGGAGGAUGUUUUGAAGAGAGCGUUAGAGAUGGUUAAAAGUACAACCAAGAGUUAUUUGUUCAGAUGUGAGCAGUUCAAGUCGAUACGGCAAGAUCUAACUGUACAGCGGAUUCGCAACGAAUUUACUGUCCAGGUAUAUGAGACGCAUGCUCGCAUGGCAUUGGAGGCUGGUGAUUUACCUGAAUACAACCAGUGUCAAACACAACUCAAGUCCCUUUACGGAGACGGCAUCAAGGGUUGUAGCAAUGAGUUUGCUGCUUACAGUUUGUUGUACAUUUUGUUCAACCGCGGCAAUAGCAGAGAUCUUUUGUCUGCUAUGGCGAAAUUGACAGAAGAAGGAAGGAAAGACGAGGUAGUAAAGCAUGCUCUGGAAGUACGUCAUGCAGUGGCAAUCGGCAACUACACGACUUUCUUUCGCUUGUAUAGAACAGCUCCAGUUCUGAGCCCUUGCUUGAUGGACAGUCACGCUGAGAAGAUGCGAUUUGAAGCUGUGAAAUUUAUGACACGCUCUUACCGUCCCACCAUUCCUGUUGCUUCUGUGGCGCGGGUUCUAGGCUUUAUUAUCGAACCAAAUUCAGAAGGAGAAAAUGAAGAGCUCGAGGAAUGCGAGGAGUGGUUGAGGGCCCAUGGUGCUUAUCUUCAAUUCGAUAGUACCAUAAGUGAGCUAGUUAUGGAAGCGAAGUUGAGUCAAACAAGCUUAUUCAUGCCUGAGCCUGAAGACGCGGUUCCCCAUGGAGAUGCAAAUCUUGCGCUUAAUGACUUCUUUUCUCGCUCUUAGAAUUCAUUGGUCCAAAUGUUAAGCAAUGUUUGACACAUUUGCAAACUCAUUAGGCAAAUUGACCUCUCAAGUUUGUUUGUUUGUUUUUUUUUCAGAAAGCUAUUGAUCCUGUAACAAGUACAUAACAGCUGUGGAGGCACAGUAGGGAGCAUGCUUGAACAGCUUGGUUUAACUCCAUACUAUUGUGCAGAAAACUGCAGAGACCUUUCCCUACUAAAGUUUUUCAUUGUGACCCGUCAUAUAGGGUCGCACGAGGAUGAAGUAUAUAUCAUGGGUAUGUAAAGUCAAACGACUGUCAUACCAUCUCAAUUGAAGAAACAUUACUUGUGAUUCAAGGACAAGGCAACUUGAAGAAAUAUGGUAAGUGUUGGUGGCUUCUUGUGCAACAAGUAUAGGAAAAAGUGAUUUUAGGGCAAGUCGGACAAUAUUGUAAAAUGUACGAAGAAUAUUGGAUAGUACGAUGAUGCUUUUGUACGCACUUUUCCCAUUA